RNAcentral lists this ribosomal RNA (193 nucleotides) under uncultured Rheinheimera sp. RNAcentral describes it as "partial 16S ribosomal RNA". It matches the Rfam family "Bacterial small subunit ribosomal RNA", at positions 337 to 522 of the family's 1533-position model. The record is from RNAcentral. Lineage: Bacteria; Pseudomonadati; Pseudomonadota; Gammaproteobacteria; Chromatiales; Chromatiaceae.
UCCUAUGGGAGGCAGCAGUGGGGAAUAUUGGACAAUGGGCGCAAGCCUGAUCCAGCCAUGCCGCGUGUGUGAAGAAGGCCUUCGGGUUGUAAAGCACUUUCAGCGAGGAGGAAGGGAUUGUAGUUAAUAGCUGCAAUUUUUGACGUUACUCGCAGAAGAAGCACCGGCUAACUACGUGCCAGCAGCCGCGGUA